Molecule: non-coding RNA, 80 nt
Organism: Mycena galericulata
Lineage: Eukaryota; Fungi; Basidiomycota; Agaricomycetes; Agaricales; Mycenaceae
Source: the annotation of a GenBank genome assembly
GGUUGUGUGGCUGAGUGGUAAAAUGUGUGUUUGUUAUUUUUGUUUUUGCAAGGUCGUGGGUUCGAUUCCAGUAGCGGCUU